Molecule: ribosomal RNA, 253 nt
Filed under: uncultured bacterium
Lineage: Bacteria
Description: partial 16S ribosomal RNA
Rfam family: Bacterial small subunit ribosomal RNA
Source: RNAcentral
GACGUAGGGCGCGAGCGUUGUCCGGAUUUAUUGGGCGUAAAGAGCUCGUAGGCGGCUUGUCGCGUCGUCCGUGAAAACUCACAGCUUAACUGUGAGCUUGCGGUCGAUACGGGCAGGCUAGAGUUCGGUAGGGGAGACUGGAAUUCCUGGUGUAGCGGUGAAAUGCGCAGAUAUCAGGAGGAACACCGGUGGCGAAGGCGGGUCUCUGGGCCGAUACUGACGCUGAGGAGCGAAAGCGUGGGGAGCAAACAGG